CAGUCGCCACGGUAAUACGUAGGGUGCGAGCGUUAAUCGGAAUUACUGGGCGUAAAGCGUGCGUAGGCGGCUUGGUAAGUUAGAGGUGAAAGCCCGGAGCUCAACUCCGGAAUUGCCUUUAAGACUGCCGAGCUAGCAGGUGAGAGAGGUAAGUGGAAUUCCGAGUGUAGAGGUGAAAUUCGUAGAUAUUCGGAAGAACACCAGUGGCGAAGGCGGCUUACUGGCUCAUACUGGACGCUGAGGUGCGAAAGCGUGGGGAGCAAACAGGAUUAGAUACCCGCGUAGUCCCUGUCUCUAUACA
This 301-nucleotide ribosomal RNA is filed under the name uncultured bacterium. RNAcentral's name for it is "partial 16S ribosomal RNA". It matches the Rfam family "Bacterial small subunit ribosomal RNA", at positions 509 to 808 of the family's 1533-position model. The record is from RNAcentral.